UUUGGUUAAGUUAGAAAGGGCGCACGGUGGAUGCCUUGACACUAGGAGUCGAUGAAGGACGGGACUAACGCCGAUAUGCUUCGGGGAGCUGUAAGUAAGCUUUGAUCCGAAGAUUUCCGAAUGGGGAAACCCACCAUACGUAAUGGUAUGGUAUCCUUAUCUGAAUACAUAGGGUAAGGAAGACAGACCCAGGGAACUGAAACAUCUAAGUACCUGGAGGAAGAGAAAGCAAAUGCGAUUUCCUGAGUAGCGGCGAGCGAAACGGAACAUAGCCCAAACCAAGAGGCUUGCCUCUUGGGGUUGUAGGACAUUCUAUACGGAGUUACAAAGGAACGAGGUAGACGAAGCGACCUGGAAAGGUCCGUCGUAGAGGGUAACAACCCCGUAGUCGAAACUUCGUUCUCUCUUGAAUGUAUCCUGAGUACGGCGGAACACGUGAAAUUCCGUCGGAAUCUGGGAGGACCAUCUCCCAAGGCUAAAUACUCCCUAGUGAUCGAUAGUGAACCAGUACCGUGAGGGAAAGGUGAAAAGCACCCCGGAAGGGGAGUGAAAGAGAUCCUGAAACCGUGUGCCUACAAAUAGUCAGAGCCCGUUAACGGGUGAUGGCGUGCCUUUUGUAGAAUGAACCGGCGAGUUACGAUCCCGUGCGAGGUUAAGCUGAAGAGGCGGAGCCGCAGCGAAAGCGAGUCUGAAUAGGGCGUUUAGUACGUGGUCGUAGACCCGAAACCAGGUGAUCUACCCAUGUCCAGGGUGAAGUUCAGGUAACACUGAAUGGAGGCCCGAACCCACGCACGUUGAAAAGUGCGGGGAUGAGGUGUGGGUAGCGGAGAAAUUCCAAUCGAACCUGGAGAUAGCUGGUUCUCCCCGAAAUAGCUUUAGGGCUAGCCUUAAGUGUAAGAGUCUUGGAGGUAGAGCACUGAUUGGACUAGGGGUCCUCAUCGGAUUACCGAAUUCAGUCAAACUCCGAAUGCCAAUGACUUAUCCUUAGGAGUCAGACUGCGAGUGAUAAGAUCCGUAGUCAAAAGGGAAACAGCCCAGACCGCCAGCUAAGGUCCCAAAGUGUGUAUUAAGUGGAAAAGGAUGUGGAGUUGCUUAGACAACUAGGAUGUUGGCUUAGAAGCAGCCACCAUUUAAAGAGUGCGUAAUAGCUCACUAGUCGAGUGACUCUGCGCCGAAAAUGUACCGGGGCUAAAUACACCACCGAAGCUGCGGAUUGAUACCAAUGGUAUCAGUGGUAGGGGAGCGUUCUAAGGACAGUGAAGUCAGACCGUAAGGACUGGUGGAGUGCUUAGAAGUGAGAAUGCCGGUAUGAGUAGCGAAAGACGGGUGAGAAUCCCGUCCACCGAAUGCCUAAGGUUUCCUGAGGAAGGCUCGUCCGCUCAGGGUUAGUCAGGACCUAAGCCGAGGCCGACAGGCGUAGGCGAUGGACAACAGGUUGAUAUUCCUGUACCACCUCUUUAUCGUUUGAGCAAUGGAGGGACGCAGAAGGAUAGAAGAAGCGUGCGAUUGGUUGUGCACGUCCAAGCAGUUAGGCUGAUAAGUAGGCAAAUCCGCUUAUCAUAAAGGCUGAGCUGUGAUGGGGAAGCUCCUUAUGGAGCGAAGUCUUUGAUUCCCCGCUGCCAAGAAAAGCUUCUAGCGAGAUAAAAGGUGCCUGUACCGCAAACCGACACAGGUAGGCGAGGAGAGAAUCCUAAGGUGUGCGAGAGAACUCUGGUUAAGGAACUCGGCAAAAUGACCCCGUAACUUCGGGAGAAGGGGUGCUUUCUUAACGGAAAGCCGCAGUGAAUAGGCCCAAGCGACUGUUUAGCAAAAACACAGCUCUCUGCGAAGCCGUAAGGCGAAGUAUAGGGGGUGACACCUGCCCGGUGCUGGAAGGUUAAGGAGAGGGGUUAGCGUAAGCGAAGCUCUGAACUGAAGCCCCAGUAAACGGCGGCCGUAACUAUAACGGUCCUAAGGUAGCGAAAUUCCUUGUCGGGUAAGUUCCGACCCGCACGAAAGGUGUAACGAUUUGGGCACUGUCUCAACCAGAGACUCGGUGAAAUUAUAGUACCUGUGAAGAUGCAGGUUACCCGCGACAGGACGGAAAGACCCCGUGGAGCUUUACUGUAGCCUGAUAUUGAAUUUUGGUACAGUUUGUACAGGAUAGGCGGGAGCCAUUGAAACCGGAGCGCUAGCUUCGGUGGAGGCGCUGGUGGGAUACCGCCCUGACUGUAUUGAAAUUCUAACCUACGGGUCUUAUCGACCCGGGAGACAGUGUCAGGUGGGCAGUUUGACUGGGGCGGUCGCCUCCUAAAGUGUAACGGAGGCGCCCAAAGGUUCCCUCAGAAUGGUUGGAAAUCAUUCGUAGAGUGCAAAGGCAUAAGGGAGCUUGACUGCGAGACCUACAAGUCGAGCAGGGACGAAAGUCGGGCUUAGUGAUCCGGUGGUUCCGCAUGGAAGGGCCAUCGCUCAACGGAUAAAAGCUACCCCGGGGAUAACAGGCUUAUCUCCCCAAGAGUCCACAUCGACGGGGAGGUUUGGCACCUCGAUGUCGGCUCAUCGCAUCCUGGGGCUGUAGUCGGUCCCAAGGGUUGGGCUGUUCGCCCAUUAAAGCGGUACGCGAGCUGGGUUCAGAACGUCGUGAGACAGUUCGGUCCCUAUCCGUCGUGGGCGUAGGAAAUUUGAGAGGAGCUGUCCUUAGUACGAGAGGACCGGGAUGGACGCACCGCUGGUGUACCAGUUGUUCUGCCAAGGGCAUAGCUGGGUAGCUAUGUGCGGAAGGGAUAAGUGCUGAAAGCAUCUAAGCAUGAAGCCCCCCUCAAGAUGAGAUUUCCCAUAGCGUAAGCUAGUAAGAUCCCUGAAAGAUGAUCAGGUUGAUAGGUUCGAGGUGGAAGCAUGGUGACAUGUGGAGCUGACGAAUACUAAUAGAUCGAGGACUUAACCAUAUAA
This 2928-nucleotide ribosomal RNA is filed under the name Bacillus thuringiensis. RNAcentral describes it as "bacterial LSU rRNA". It matches the Rfam family "Bacterial large subunit ribosomal RNA". Lineage: Bacteria; Bacillati; Bacillota; Bacilli; Caryophanales; Bacillaceae. The record is from RNAcentral.